RNAcentral lists this ribosomal RNA (465 nucleotides) under uncultured bacterium. RNAcentral describes it as "partial 16S ribosomal RNA". It matches the Rfam family "Bacterial small subunit ribosomal RNA", at positions 338 to 795 of the family's 1533-position model. The record is from RNAcentral.
CCUACGGGAGGCAGCAGUGGGGAAUAUUGCGCAAUGGGCGAAAGCCUGACGCAGCGACGCCGCGUGAGGGAUGAAGGUCCUAGGAGUGUAAAACUCUGUCAGUAGGGAAGUACGGUCAUUGUGGUAAUCAGCAGUGAAUUGACGGUACCUGCAAAGGAAGCACCGGCUAACUCCGUGCCAGCAGCCGCGGUAAUACGGAGGGGUCGUGCGUUAAUCGGAUUUACUGGGCGUAAAGGGCUCGUAGGCGGUAUGUCAAGUCAAGGGUGAAAUCCCCGCGCUCAACGUGGGAACUGCCUUUGAAACUGGCAGACUGGAGUGUGUUAGAGGAUAGUGGAAUUCCAGGUGUAGGAGUGAAAUCCGUAGAUAUCUGGAGGAACAUCAGUGGCGAAGGCGACUAUCUGGCACAUAACUGACGCUGGGGAGCGAAAGCGUGGGUAGCAAACAGGAUUAGAUACCCCAGUAGUC